GAUGAACGCUGGCGGCGUGCCUAAUACAUGCAAGUCGAGCGAACAGACGAGGAGCUUGCUCCUCUGACGUUAGCGGCGGACGGGUGAGUAACACGUGGAUAACCUACCUAUAAGACUGGGAUAACUUCGGGAAACCGGAGCUAAUACCGGAUAAUAUAUUGAACCGCAUGGUUCAAUAGUGAAAGACGGUUUUGCUGUCACUUAUAGAUGGAUCCGCGCCGCAUUAGCUAGUUGGUAAGGUAACGGCUUACCAAGGCAACGAUGCGUAGCCGACCUGAGAGGGUGAUCGGCCACACUGGAACUGAGACACGGUCCAGACUCCUACGGGAGGCAGCAGUAGGGAAUCUUCCGCAAUGGGCGAAGGCUUGACGGAGCAACGCCACGUGAGUGAUGAAGGUCUUCGGAUCGUAAAACUCUGUUAUUAGGGAAGAACAAAUGUGUAAGUAACUAUGCACGUCUUGACGGUACCUAAUCAGAAAGCCACGGCUAACUACGUG
RNAcentral lists this ribosomal RNA (497 nucleotides) under uncultured bacterium. RNAcentral describes it as "partial 16S ribosomal RNA". It matches the Rfam family "Bacterial small subunit ribosomal RNA", at positions 28 to 507 of the family's 1533-position model. The record is from RNAcentral.